Long non-coding RNA from Cyclopterus lumpus (lumpfish), 2108 nucleotides. RefSeq lists it as uncharacterized. NCBI's taxonomy places the organism in Eukaryota, Metazoa, Chordata, Actinopteri, Perciformes, Cyclopteridae. The record is from RefSeq and is a predicted model, not a curated record. The transcript is spliced from 3 exons.
CUUCAACACGUGGCAGAAGAUGUGCAUGUGGCGCAGAAUGCGUUAGGCGGAAGUGGAAGUUGAUUAAAAACAAGGACCUCCAAAUGAUCGUGAAGAAGAACAAUGUCCUGCAGCUGCAUGUUGAUGCAGCCAGUGAGCACAGCGUCGGCCCCAAACAGAGCCGCUCUGCAGGGUCCAAAGAGACCGUUUACCUGAUGGCGUCACAGUUCCUGGUCUGCCUGCAGGCCUGCCAGACUUCCACGGCUGCAUCCGCCAAGCGACGAUCAACCGCAGACCUGCCAUGCUGUCCAAACCCCUCGCUGUGUGUGGAGCCGUGGGGACGCAGGGCUGCCCACACAUGUAAACCCAAUACACAGUCUUAUCUUCACAUUCCCAAACUGACAAUUACUGGUGAUGGGUGUCAGGUUACUGUAGCUAAUUUAAAAUAUAUAUUAAUAUUUAUUUUCUAUUUUCAGAAAAAAUUAUAUUUUACAGUUUGUUGUUGCAAUAUUACUGGUUUGUUAUUGUACUACAGGGUGCUAUAACAACUGCAUAGAGAUGCACUGAUACAAGUGACUGCUACAAGAUAUCAAAUAUCAACUCUAAAAUCUAAAGAUAAUUCUGAAAUGUGAAGUUUAUUGUCAAUAAAGGCAACACUGCUUGAAUUUUCUUGCUUUUGAAAGCAAAUGGUGAAAAGUAAAUGUCAAUCGUCCAAACACAUUUUCUGGAUCUGCAUUAUAUAUUAAAGUAAAUGAUGUAUACAGUUGUGUAUCGUGUAUCUCUAGCAGAGAAUGUUAAGAAUACGUACUGAGUGAAAACACUGUGAAAACUGAUGUAUGAGCAACGUCCUCAAGCAGUGCAGAUGGGCAAUGACAUUUGGGAAUAUCAGACUCAGUGAUGCAAAGAUGAAUACAUUUACCAUAUAACACCAAAAAGGUUAAAAAGAAUAUAACAUUAGGGUUGCGUUGCACCAAAAAGGAUUAAUGAAUCUACGAUUAGUACUAAUCAGAGUUUAGCCAAACUAGAUAUUAGGAAAUACAUACAUUACAUUACUCAUGAUGGCUCUGCAGAGGUCUAAUUUCUCCUCCGAGAAAAACUUAGACUGCCUGUUGGCCCAAUAUUCCUGUUCAGCUCCACAACAGUUUCCUUGAUGAACCAAUAAUAUCUUGAAUGAAAAUCAGCAGCAGCAUUAUAAAAUCUGUCCCUUAACUUUCUUCGAGGAACUUGAUUAUUUUUGCUCAAUCCCUCUCAAAAGUUUUGGUGCAACGGAAUUGAAUAUUAUCAAGGUUUAGAGUAAAAACUAAACUGAUGUUAAAAGAGAGGUUUGAAUAUAUCUCUUUAAGCUGGUCUAAAUGAUUGUUACAUGAUUUUGAAGGUACAUUUACCAUGCCUAGUUAACACAUCAGUUAUCAAAGGAUGAUCACAUAGCCUAAAUGUGAUGUACAGAUACUUCAAACAUACAGUAGUUUAGUUUAUGGGAAUUUUACUGCCCCCCCCCCUCCCCACACACACAAACAAACAAACAAAUAUUGUAGUUUUUACCUCCACUGCAUUUGUCAGACAGGAUUAGUUACAUGUGUUUUUGUCCCAUUCCUGUCCAGUGAAAACCAAAAAUCUCCAGAUGUAUUGAUUUUGAAUGUUUUUUGUAAGCUGAAGGAUGAAGUGUUCCUUUAUAUGUUGAAAAAAUAAUCUUACUAUUCAAAUAUUUUUAAAAGCUCUUGAAUCGGCUAGAAAAUGCAUCACAGUGAAGUUAACAGCGCUUUUUUCUGAGUUCGCUCAUGAAAAGUAGACUUUUUAGAGAUAUGUGGUUCUCACAAGAGCGAACUCUACAAAUAUGACCUUAUAGAAUAGGCAUUGCUACAAAAACAGUAUAUAAGAGUUAAAAUAUCUAAAGCAGUAAUAUAAUACAUUACUUUGACUUGCAAUGGAAUAUUUUCACUGUGUGGUAUUAGUACUUGUACUUCACUAAAGGAUCUGAAUAUUUCCACCACUGGUAUUUACACACAAAAGGGAGAUUAGAGAGGGAGAUCAGUCAUUGGCUGUUGUUGCUUGUGUUUAAGGGACUUAACGUUCUUUUCUCUUCUACAGUAAGGGUGCAAAGCAAAAACUCAACUAUCAGUUAGGUAGAA